Long non-coding RNA from Nothoprocta perdicaria, 358 nucleotides. RefSeq lists it as uncharacterized. NCBI's taxonomy places the organism in Eukaryota, Metazoa, Chordata, Aves, Tinamiformes, Tinamidae. The transcript is spliced from 2 exons. The record is from RefSeq and is a predicted model, not a curated record.
CCGACUUCCAACACUUGUGAGCUGCUGCCUUCGUCCCUCCAGCGUCAGAGCCACUGYGCAGCGAGGGAUGCAUCCGAGCUUUGAUCCAGCUGCAGAGCUCCAGCAGCAGUAGGAAAACAGGAGCCAGGCUCUAGAUCUCCAUGCAAGCUCUGGCUGAACUCUCGGGUACCUAUGGGAAUCGAUCGCCUUCUACCUAGUGAGCUGGAAAGAGAAGCGCAUCCAAAGGACAGCAAUGUGCACAGAAAGCUCAAGGAAGUGUGAUUUGGGRCUGGAGGUCUGAGCCACCCACGGGCCUGUCUCCUCCGGAUGCACCUUGGCUCCUGCUAUGAUUUCUCAGGGGCUUCAGGUGGCCCUGGAC